UUGCUUGCUUUGGCAACACAUAUACUAAAACUGGAAUACAGAGAAGAUUAGCAUGGCCCCUGCGCAGGAUGACAUGCAGAUUCGUGAUGCAUUCCACUUUUUU
Small nuclear RNA from Colobus angolensis palliatus, 103 nucleotides. NCBI's taxonomy places the organism in Eukaryota, Metazoa, Chordata, Mammalia, Primates, Cercopithecidae. The record is from Ensembl.